UCCUGACCUGGUCUCUCUGCAACUUGUGACGGGUCCCAGCGGCUCGCAACCUGGUCUCUCAGCAGUAUUUGGCUGGUCUCUCGGUGGUGUGGUGGGUCCCGGCCUGGUCUCUCAGCUGCUCAUGGCAGUGUCUCGGCAGCGUGCAAGUGGACCAUGCCUGGGCAUGUUCCCCAGGGGCAAUGAGGAGAUCGGAGAGCUGGCGGUUUCAGCAGCAGCAACAGUAUCUGUGGGAGUGGCCCUGAGAACAGAUAGCAGAGCAAGAUAAGCUGAGGACUCAUCGAAGACUGUUGAACUUAUUCCGUUUUGUUCCGAGUUUAAACUAUGAAAGACUUUAAUUGAGUGUAAAUAAGGACAUAGAAGAUUAUGGAAGUUCUAUAUUGGAGGAUUGCAUCAGUUCCUGGACGCAGUUGGAGAAGUCACCAGGGAGCAGCGGAGCCUGUCAGGAUAUCAACUGAGUAUCACAUGGAAGUGUACUAUCCAAAAGUACCCAGCAAUGAAUACUACAGUGAUCUGCCUGUUAAGGACAUUUCUAACCUUCUUCUGUGUGUGUGGACCGUGCUCACUGAAGUGUGAACCCCAUUACUGAAGAAUGAUACAAGAAUGAUAGGUGAUUUAGUCAUGAACAAGUGAAAACAAGGAUCAAUAAAGCACAUACAAAGUGAUCCAUUUUUUGAGUUUUCAGUUAUGAUAAUAUUGACAAUGUCUGGCAGAUGUGGCAAAUACAUGUGACAUUUAUAGAUGCAUCUUUUACAUGUUGUAUGUAUAUGUCCUCACUAUGUUAUAGAAGAGCAAACCUACAUCAAUCAUCCAUAUUGAAUAACAUUGUAAAAGCAGGAUGCUUUGGAUUCACCGUGGUGAUGUUUCUCAUGUAAGCAUGUUUAAGCUCAAGUACCCAUAUUUUUCAGAUAUUUGCCACUCCACAAAAGAUUAAUAAAAAUGAAACAACUUGCAUUUAUAUAAUAUAUUUCAGGCAUAGCUUCAGGCAUUUCACAGCAAAUGAAGUACAGUAGUUUUAAAGUGUUGACACAAUUGUAAUGUGAGGAAAAGUGACAGUCAAUUUGUCUCUAAACAGCAAGAUAAAUGACCAGAUGACUGUAAUCUGUUCUUAGUGGUGGGAGUGGUCAAGAACUGUGCAUUAGCCAAGGCACCCAAAGUCAUAGAGUCAUAGAGAUGUACAGCAUGGAAACAGACCCCUCGGUUCAACCCGUCCAUGCCG
Molecule: long non-coding RNA, 1216 nt
Organism: Chiloscyllium plagiosum (whitespotted bambooshark)
Lineage: Eukaryota; Metazoa; Chordata; Chondrichthyes; Orectolobiformes; Hemiscylliidae
Source: RefSeq, a predicted model, not a curated record